This 207-nucleotide ribosomal RNA is filed under the name uncultured bacterium. Its description in RNAcentral is "partial 16S ribosomal RNA". It matches the Rfam family "Bacterial small subunit ribosomal RNA", at positions 568 to 774 of the family's 1533-position model. The record is from RNAcentral.
UGCGUAGGCGGUUUACUAAGUCAGAUGUGAAAGCCCCGGGCUUAACCUGGGAACUGCAUUUGAUACUGGUAGGCUAGAGUAUGAUAGAGGGGGGUAGAAUUCCUGGUGUAGCGGUGAAAUGCGUAGAUAUCAGGAGGAAUACCAGUGGCGAAGGCGGCCCCCUGGAUCAAUACUGACGCUGAGGUACGAAAACGUGGGUAGCGAACA